Molecule: ribosomal RNA, 451 nt
Filed under: uncultured Thiobacillus sp.
Lineage: Bacteria; Pseudomonadati; Pseudomonadota; Betaproteobacteria; Nitrosomonadales; Thiobacillaceae
Description: bacterial SSU rRNA
Rfam family: Bacterial small subunit ribosomal RNA
Source: RNAcentral
CACAAGCGGUGGAUGAUGUGGAUUAAUUCGAUGCAACGCGAAAACCUUACCUACCCUUGACAUGUCCGGAAUCCUGCAGAGAUGCGGGAGUGCCCGAAGGGAAUCGGAACACAGGUGCUGCAUGGCUGUCGUCAGCUCGUGUCGUGAGAUGUUGGGUUAAGUCCCGCAACGAGCGCAACCCUUAUCAUUAGUUGCUACGCAAGGGCACUCUAAUGAGACUGCCGGUGACAAACCGGAGGAAGGUGGGAUGACGUCAAGUCCUCAUGGCCCUUAUGGGUAGGGCUUCACACGUCAUACAAUGGUCGGUACAGAGGGUUGCCAAGCCGCGAGGUGGAGCCAAUCCUGAAAGCAGGCCUCAGUUCAGAUUGCAGUCUGCAACUCGACUGCAUGAAGCCGGAGUUGCUAGUAACCGCAGGUCAGCAAUACUGCGGUGAAUACGUUCCCGGGUCUU